Molecule: RNA transcript, 8789 nt
Organism: Antechinus flavipes (yellow-footed antechinus)
Lineage: Eukaryota; Metazoa; Chordata; Mammalia; Dasyuromorphia; Dasyuridae
Gene: PDS5A
Gene name: PDS5 cohesin associated factor A
Exons: 33
Source: RefSeq, a predicted model, not a curated record
GCUUUGUGUGCAGUCCCGCGGCGCGGCGGCCGGGCCGGGGCUCCACCUGCGGACCGCCACCCCGCGCUCCACGCGCCACCCGCCCGCAUGAGGACGAGAGGCCGGUAGAGGAGCGCCGGAGAAAGUUGUGCCCACCAUGGACUUCCCCCCUGUGCAGCCCAAGCCGCCCUCGGGCCUGGGCCUGGGCAGUUCGGACGCCAAGAUCGCUUACCCCCCGGGGGUCAAGGAGAUCACCGACAAGAUCACCAACGACGAGGUGGUCAAACGGCUCAAGAUGGUAGUAAAAACUUUUAUGGACAUGGAUCAGGACUCAGAAGAUGAAAAGCAGCAGUAUCUUCCUCUAGCCUUGCAUCUUGCAUCUGAAUUCUUCCUCAGGAAUCCCAACAAAGAUGUACGUCUUCUUGUAGCAUGUUGUUUGGCUGAUAUUUUCCGAAUCUAUGCUCCAGAAGCACCAUAUACUUCCCAUGACAAACUCAAGGACAUAUUUUUAUUCAUUACAAGACAGUUAAAAGGUUUGGAAGAUACUAAGAGUCCACAGUUUAAUAGAUAUUUUUACUUAUUAGAGAAUUUAGCUUGGGUUAAAUCCUAUAACAUCUGCUUUGAAUUGGAAGAUUGCAAUGAAAUUUUUAUUCAACUUUUUAGAACUCUCUUCUCAGUGAUCAACAAUAGCCACAAUAAAAAGGUACAAAUGCAUAUGUUGGACUUGAUGAGUUCUAUCAUCAUGGAAGGUGAUGGAGUAACCCAAGAAUUAUUGGAUUCUAUUCUUAUUAACCUCAUUCCUGCACAUAAGAACUUAAAUAAGCAAGCAUUUGAUCUUGCAAAAGUCUUACUGAAAAGAACAGUCCAAAUCAUUGAGGCAUCCAUUGCCAAUUUUUUCAACCAAGUUUUGGUGUUGGGAAGGUCUUCAGUAAGUGAUUUAUCAGAACAUGUAUUUGAUCUGAUACAGGAACUUUUUGCCAUAGAUCCUCAUUUAUUGCUCUCUGUUAUGCCACAACUUGAAUUCAAACUUAAGAGCAAUGAUGGAGAAGAGCGUUUAGCUGUGGUUCGAUUGCUAGCUAAAUUGUUUGGUUCUAAAGAUUCUGAUUUGGCAACACAGAAUCGACCCCUUUGGCAGUGCUUUCUUGGAAGAUUUAAUGACAUUCAUGUUCCAGUGAGGUUAGAAAGUGUGAAAUUUGCCAGUCAUUGUUUAAUGAAUCACCCAGACUUAGCAAAGGACCUUACAGAAUACUUGAAGGUUAGGUCUCAUGAUCCAGAAGAAGCUAUUCGUCAUGACGUCAUUGUUACCAUAAUAACAGCUGGCAAAAGAGACCUUUCUUUAGUCAAUGAUCAAUUACUUGGCUUUGUGAGAGAGAGAACAUUGGACAAACGGUGGAGAGUUCGAAAAGAAGCUAUGAUGGGCCUUGCCCAACUUUAUAAGAAAUAUUGUCUUCAUGCAGAAGCUGGAAGGGAAGCUGCUGAGAAAGUGAGCUGGAUAAAGGAUAAACUUUUGCACAUAUAUUAUCAAAAUAGCAUUGAUGACAAAUUGUUGGUAGAGAAAAUCUUUGCUCAGUACCUUGUCCCUCACAAUCUUGAAACAGAAGAAAGAAUGAAAUGUUUAUAUUAUUUGUAUGCCAGCUUGGAUCCAAAUGCUGUAAAGGCACUCAAUGAAAUGUGGAAGUGCCAGAAUCUACUCAGGAGUCAUGUGCGGGAGUUACUGGAUUUGCACAAACAGCCUGCUUCAGAAGCUAAUAGUUCUGCCAUGUUUGGAAAGCUGAUGACCAUAGCAAAGAACUUGCCUGACCCUGGAAAAGCACAAGAUUUUGUGAAAAAGUUCAAUCAGGUCCUUGGCGAUGAUGAAAAACUUCGGUCUCAAUUAGAGUUACUUAUCAGCCCUACGUGUUCGUGCAAACAGGCAGAUGUCUGUGUGAGAGAAAUAGCCAGGAAACUUGCAAACCCCAAGCAGCCAACUAAUCCUUUCCUUGAGAUGGUCAAAUUUCUUUUGGAAAGAAUUGCACCUGUGCAUAUUGACUCAGAAGCCAUCAGUGCACUAGUGAAGCUGAUGAACAAGUCAAUAGAGGGGACUGCUGAUGAUGAAGAGGAGGGUGUGAGUCCAGAUACAGCCAUUCGUGCAGGACUUGAAUUACUUAAGGUUCUGUCUUUCACACAUCCUACCUCGUUUCACUCAGCAGAGACUUAUGAGUCGCUGCUGCAGUGCCUCAGAAUGGAAGAUGAUAAAGUAGCAGAAGCUGCCAUACAGAUUUUUAGGAAUACAGGACACAAAAUAGAAACAGAUCUUCCACAAAUAAGAUCCACCUUAAUUCCCAUCUUACAUCAAAAAGCAAAGAGAGGUACACCCCACCAAGCAAAACAGGCUGUCCAUUGUAUCCAUGCCAUAUUCACAAAUAAAGAAGUACAGCUUGCGCAGAUUUUUGAGCCUCUCAGUAGGAGUCUGAAUGCUGAUGUUCCAGAGCAGCUUAUAACACCAUUAGUUUCCUUGGGCCAUAUUUCCAUGUUAGCCCCAGAUCAAUUUGCUUCCCCAAUGAAAUCUGUAGUAGCAAAUUUUAUUGUGAAAGACCUUUUAAUGAAUGACAGGUAUCUACAGUCAACAGGUGAGAAGAAUGGAAAAUUAUGGUCUCCAGAUGAAGAAGUUUCCCCAGAAGUACUAGCCAAAGUUCAAGCAAUUAAACUUCUGGUACGAUGGCUAUUAGGAAUGAAAAACAACCAGUCUAAGUCUGCCAAUUCCACUCUUCGGUUAUUAUCAGCAAUGUUGGUUAGUGAGGGUGACCUCACAGAACAAAAAAGAAUCAGUAAAUCUGAUAUGUCUCGUUUGCGACUGGCUGCUGGUAGUGCCAUAAUGAAGCUUGCUCAGGAGCCUUGUUACCAUGAAAUUAUUACACCAGAACAGUUCCAGCUCUGUGCACUUGUUAUUAAUGAUGAGUGCUACCAAGUAAGACAGAUAUUUGCUCAAAAGCUGCACAAGGCUCUUGUGAAGUUACUGCUCCCAUUGGAGUACAUGGCAAUCUUUGCCCUGUGUGCCAAAGAUCCUGUGAAAGAGAGAAGAGCCCAUGCCCGACAAUGUUUGCUAAAGAACAUCAGCAUACGAAGGGAGUAUAUUAAGCAGAACCCCAUGGCUACUGAAAAGCUCUUAUCCCUGCUGCCUGAAUAUGUAGUUCCGUAUAUGAUUCACUUGCUGGCUCAUGACCCAGAUUUUACAAAACCUCAAGAUGUUGAUCAACUUCGUGAUAUCAAAGAGUGCCUGUGGUUCAUGCUUGAAGUUUUAAUGACAAAGAAUGAGAAUAACAGCCACGCCUUUAUGAAGAAGAUGGCAGAAAAUAUCAAGUUAACCAGAGAUGCCCAGUCUCCUGAUGAGCCUAAGACUAAUGAAAAACUUUACACAGUAUGUGAUGUUGCUCUUUGUGUUAUAAAUAGCAAAAGUGCUUUAUGCAAUGCAGAUUCACCAAAGGACCCAGUCCUCCCAACCAAAUUUUUCACUCAACCUGAAAAGGAUUUCUGUAAUGACAGGAGUUAUAUUUCUGAAGAGACAAGAGUUCUCCUAUUAACAGGAAAGCCAAAACCUGCUGGAGUACUAGGUGCAGUAAACAAGCCUUUAUCAGCAACAGGAAGAAAACCCUAUGUCAGAAGCACAGGCACAGAACCUGGAAGCAAUGUUAAUGUAAACUCAGAGCUGAACCCUUCAACAGGAAAUCGAUCAAGGGAACCAAAUUCAGAAACUUCAGAAACUGGAGUGAGUGAAAAUGAAGAAAAUCCUGUCAGAAUCAUCUCUGUCAUACCAGGAAAGGCUGAGCCUGUAAAGAACAAGGAGAUCAACUCCGACCAGGCCGCUCCGGGCAACCUCAGUGCCGACCGAGGGAAGAAGAGGCCAGCCACCGCCUCCGGGGCAGAGAACAUCCAACAGAAAGCCGAGGAGAAGAAGGCCGACGAGACGGGACCCCCCGUGCCUCCCAAGGCCCGACGAGGCCGUCGGCCCAAGUCCGAGUCUCAGGGCAGCGCCACCAAGAGCGACGAAGCAAACAAGGCGGCUGGGAGGGGCAGAAAGAGGGCCGCGGGAGGGCAAGAGAGCCCGGGGGGGCUGGAGGCGGGCAGCGCCAAAGCCCCCAAACUCCAGGACCUAGCCAAAAAAGCAGCACCAGCAGAGAGGCAGAUUGAUUUGCAAAGGUAAAAUAAAGUAACUUCUCUCCACACCUUGAAUUGCCAAAGCAUUCUUACAAAUUUCUAAGUUGUUAGCACAUGGGAAUCAAGCUGUCCUUUGGUAGAAGAAACAGAAAAGGGAAGAACUCAGAAAACAGCGGCUAGCCCAAAGGCUUUUCUCUGUUGCGUUUUCAUCCCAUUAAUUCAGAUUUUAAGGUUUUGAUUCUCAGAUGUCGAUCAACAAACAAGCAAGCAUUUAGUUACUGUUGUGGGCCGGCCCGACGUCGGCAUCAGACACCUGAAAAGGAACCGCUUCUCUCUCGGGCUGAUCUCAGUGUGGCCGCCGCAUGAGAUCGUCAUGGCUCUUAGUUGGGUUCACUCCUGACUUGAACUUUUUAAUUCCUUUGAUUUUUCAGAGACAAGGCUCUACAAAAUGUAUAUAUUAUUGCAAUAUUGAGAUUUCACGCUAUGGCAGAAUAUGCCCAAUUUUGUAUUCACCUGGGACUUUGUUAAUUUGCCCUCUCUAUUGCGACUUCAUUUUGAGGCUUAGAAUGUUCAAUCGAUCCAAGAUAAAUGCCAACCAGGGGACUAAGUCAGAGGUUAUGCUGCUUGUUUGACAGCCAAGAUCAAUACAAAGUUUCCCUGAACAGCAGUUCAUGGCACAGUUCAUACCUUCUGCAGCAUUUGUAGAUUCUCUUAGAAUAGUGGGAUUGAGAGAUUUUAAAGUAAGUAGACGUGAAAAUGUUUGUAAGAAGGAUUCCACUUUAAUGAUUUUAACAGUAUCAAAUUUAAUUAUUGACACAUUGAACUCUCUCAGUAGCUAUUGGGCAAGGACUGAUGUUAGUGCUGUGUGUAAGAGACCGAGGGCUGGGCCAGAACGGGGCAGGAUUGGGCAGCUGGAGGGUGGGUUUCAGAGCGCCCAGGGCAGUGAUGCGGAUUCAGGUGGGUAGAGGGAUGGCGAGCUGAGCUGGAGGAGGAGAGGGUGCUGACCUGGGGCGGGGAGGGGUUUAGGGGGGGAAAGCACAGUUUGCCAGUUGCUCUUCUCAGCUCCUUAUUAGCGCUAGUGCUUUCCUGCUCAUGAAGGUUCCUUUGGUCUCAGCCCCUAGGGGGAACUUCCCCUGCCCCCCUUGAUUGAGGCACCUCCCCCCCCUCCUAUCCUGCCCACAGAUGCCCCCAAGCCUCACUUCCCCUCCUUCACUUCAUGGCCAACACUGCUCAGCCUCAGAGGCCUCGGCUUCCUGUGUCUCAGACAUUGGGGAUCCCCUCCCCUCCCUCAUGACCUCUGCCCUUUGUGCCCUCUCCUCUUCCUUCAUCCUCCUUCACGUGUGAGUUCCUCGGCUCUGAAUGCUCUGUCACUGGCUCUGGUCCAGCAUCCGCAGAUUGGCCUUUCCCGGUCCAGUCCUGUUGAGCUCUGUUUUCCCCUUUCCUUUGGAGAAGCGCCCCCCAACUGCCUCGGCCUGGAAACCUCAGGGGCACCCAGGGAUUGCCCCGACUCCCACCUCCACAGCUGAGCGGCUUAAGUUCACCUUGGCUGCGCUUCUGGAAUGUGCCGCCUUCUCUCUGCCCCGGCUAUGCCCUCUUGGCAUCCGCCUCCCCUUCAUGCCAUCCUCGGCCAGGCCUCAAACGCGGGUCUUCCUGUGUCACCCCCUACCCAGUAACCUCCAAGGGAACCCUCCUCUUCCUCCUCCUCCCUUUGUCGUCAUAGACCUUCCUCCAUGCCCGGCCCUCCUCAAGCGAGGGACACGGCGGCCUUCUGGUGGGCCCCAGGCUGGCUGGGGACGUUCUCUCUGGCCGGGCCCCUUCUCUGAGCACUGACCUUCCUGGCUUCCUUUUCAACCCCAAGCAGAAAGCCCUCUCUCCCAGGGAGCCCUCCCCACCCCGUCACUUCUGAUGCCUUCUUUCUGUGAGGCAGGCCCAAUUUCUGUCGUGAGCUUGUUGGUACAUACUUGUUUAUGUAUUGUUCCCCCAUUAGAUUGUGAGCUACUUGAGGGCAAGAACCUUCUUUGGCCUCUUUUUCCAUAUCUCUGGCACUUAGCACAGGAUCUGGCACAUAGUAAAAAGAAACUCAUUCAAAAAGGGAGGAGAUGACGGCCAAAUAAAGACAGGCUCAAGCUUCUACAAAGACUAGAAUUCAAAAAGUAGCUGGACAGAAAGUGAGAUGACUUCAAAACACCUAAUUUCUGCCUUGAAAACUGAAAAACUCCUAACUUCCCUUUCAUAUGACACCAGUCCUUGAAUGGAAAUGUAAAGCAGAAACUCGUAAGAGAGGCUAAAAGCAACUGUACUUAUUUUCCCCUGAGACUUUUUUUUAUGAAAAGUCAAUAAUUAAGCAAAUUGCUUAACACUUGGUUCCAGUUCCUGCAUAUCUGGAGUUUAAAGUGCAUCACAACGUUCUUUUCCAUGCUGCAUUUUUUUUUUUUUUAAAGAAAGUCACAGGAUGUCCUUACACUGACACAGAAAAUUCAUAAUUCUAGAGCCAGGAAUGCCCAUGUUACACAAGAAAAAUAGAAGCCUACUGAAUUAAUUUUAAGGAGAAAAAGUGAUCGGAACAAGUACUUCUUGGCUUUUUCCUUUUGAAGACUUUAAUGUAUAAUUCUUCCCGCCUGCCUACUUUUCUGCAAAACUAAGAUGUACAGAUUUCAUUUCCCUGCUAUGAAAAGUCAUGUGGUGGCAAUUUUAUAAAUGUUGCUUUCUGAUUUUUAUCAGAGUGAGAAAAUAAUUGAAAUUAUUGAUUUGGAAGUAAACAUUUCAUUUUUUUAAUUUCCCCCCCACUUUAGUUUAAUAUAAUUUGCAAUAAAUGUACAUAUGGUUGUUUGUUUUAUAAAGUAUAUCACUUUAAAAGGUCUUUACUCCAAUGGUCAUUAUGUUGGAAUAUUGGAAAUUUUAAAGGAGUAAAGGCAUUUUCAGGAUUUGGUUUUGUAAUGUGAUCACCAGAUUUUUAUUAUUGAUGUAAAAAAGUUCAAUUUUCUAAAAUAGCUGGACAUUGGCAGCUUCAAGAGGAAAGUUGGAAAUGUUUAGAAUUGCAUUCAAUUUUAAGCAUUGCGAUAAAUGAAAGAAUGUCUGUUUUGCAUUUGUUUCCCCGUAUGAAUUCAUUUCUUUUUAAUUUUAGAAGAAGACUUUUGCACCAAUAUGUUUCCUGGCAUUGUUCAGCAAGGGUAAAAGUGUACGCUUUGAGUACACGUGAUCAUAUUUAAGUUGGUUGCAUAAAAUAAAUGCUUCUAGGUGUCAUGUGAUAGUCCUUGCUUUUUAAUCGGUCAGUAUGUUCUCUCGUCUUGAACCGAGCAGAGGCUCAGAGGAUUCAGAGUGAGACGGCAGGAGUACAGCCAACUCUGUUAUCCGUGGUAAUUGGAGGGUCAGGGGGGUCAGUAAGAGAGGCAGCAUCCCUUCGAGGGCCAAGGAGCUUCAGGGAAGAGCUUCCCCUGCCCAGAGCUCUCCACUCCUCCCCCGCUCCUCCCUGUGGCAGUCGGGAAGCACUUGGCAGGGGCCUCAGCCGAACUGGAUUAUUUCAGUGUAUUUGUACCAUGUGCCCGGGUGCACUUGGUGAAGAGGCAGAAAUUAAACAAGUGAUGUUUUAACAGAAUUACUGCCUAUUUUGCUCAAUCAUAAUUAGUAAAAAUUUGAAAGCAAGAUUAACAUUAGACAAGCAUCCAUGCCCACCAGCCCCCCCCCAGGAUAAUCCAGAGUUGGCUGUAUAUUAAUAAUGUAUAUAGAAGAUAGAGGGAAAUUAUUCAAUUGUUUAUACUAAUUAUAGAAAAAUAUGAUUCUGGAAAAUGUAAAAUUGGCCCUACCACUUUUGACUGCCUUCUCUAUCAUUGCCUUGUAAACAAAUCAGAAAUGAUAAAAGCUCAGACCUAGACCCUGUGGGACAGAAGGAAAAAAAAAAAACUAUGCAUAAAGUAUAUGACAGAUAGUGACUCUAGGCAACUUAUGAAAAAUGGGCACAUCCUAAUCAGGAAGUUUUUCAGGUUCUCUUAGUAUGAUUAGAUAAAUUAAUUUCAGUUCCCUCAAACCCUUUAGGAGAGGGUGAGAACCUUUUUCCCUGGAACGCUUCCUCUUUCUUUGGAACUCAGCUCUAACCAUUGAAGAUAAUGGGAAACCAUGGCCAAAAAUGUUGGGGAGAGGAAAUUGCUCAUUGAUUUAAUGCAAUAUGAAUUCUUGUGGGAAGAAAAGGCGAGUGAGUAGAGCUCUCUCCUAUAGAUUGAAUAGGAAGCACUAGCAGAACUAUGCACCUGAUUUAAUUAUGAGAUCGAAACAGAAAAGGAAAAUGGGAGAUUGAAAAGCUCUUCUGAUUGGGAAAAUGCAUAUUUGAACAAAAAUUUUGAUUUCAUUUGAAACAAUUAAAAGAUACUUCCUCUUAAAUUGUUGUUCAUAUCUCAAAGCUAAACAAAAGGAAAACAUCCAGAUUUGCAGUUAAAUGCUAAUGUUAACCCUUUGUUUAAGGAUUCUUGUAAUUUGUCUAAUAAUACAACCAGAAUUUUAUACUCUUUGAUACAAAGCGUGUAUAGUAGUUUUACAUAUUCUUGUGCUGCACAUGGGCUGGGUUUUUAGAAUUUUCUUUUUAAGAAUGAAGCAGAACAUUGUAAUUUGUGUAAAUGCAGAGUGUAAUAUCUACCAUGAAACACUAAAAACAUGGAUUGUUUCGAAUAAAACCAAGAAACGCA